Molecule: ribosomal RNA, 1532 nt
Filed under: Acinetobacter sp.
Lineage: Bacteria; Pseudomonadati; Pseudomonadota; Gammaproteobacteria; Moraxellales; Moraxellaceae
Also listed under: 1 other name
Description: bacterial SSU rRNA
Rfam family: Bacterial small subunit ribosomal RNA
Source: RNAcentral
UGAAGAGUUUGAUCAUGGCUCAGAUUGAACGCUGGCGGCAGGCUUAACACAUGCAAGUCGAGCGGAUGAAGGGAGCUUGCUCCUGGAUUCAGCGGCGGACGGGUGAGUAAUGCUUAGGAAUCUGCCUAUUAGUGGGGGACAACAUUUCGAAAGGGAUGCUAAUACCGCAUACGCCCUACGGGGGAAAGCAGGGGAUCUUCGGACCUUGCGCUAAUAGAUGAGCCUAAGUCAGAUUAGCUAGUUGGUGGGGUAAAGGCCUACCAAGGCGACGAUCUGUAGCGGGUCUGAGAGGAUGAUCCGCCACACUGGGACUGAGACACGGCCCAGACUCCUACGGGAGGCAGCAGUGGGGAAUAUUGGACAAUGGGGGGAACCCUGAUCCAGCCAUGCCGCGUGUGUGAAGAAGGCCUUUUGGUUGUAAAGCACUUUAAGCGAGGAGGAGGCUCUUCUAGUUAAUACCUAGGAUGAGUGGACGUUACUCGCAGAAUAAGCACCGGCUAACUCUGUGCCAGCAGCCGCGGUAAUACAGAGGGUGCGAGCGUUAAUCGGAUUUACUGGGCGUAAAGCGUACGUAGGCGGCUUUUUAAGUCGGAUGUGAAAUCCCUGAGCUUAACUUAGGAAUUGCAUUCGAUACUGGGAAGCUAGAGUAUGGGAGAGGAUGGUAGAAUUCCAGGUGUAGCGGUGAAAUGCGUAGAGAUCUGGAGGAAUACCGAUGGCGAAGGCAGCCAUCUGGCCUAAUACUGACGCUGAGGUACGAAAGCAUGGGGAGCAAACAGGAUUAGAUACCCUGGUAGUCCAUGCCGUAAACGAUGUCUACUAGCCGUUGGGGCCUUUGAGGCUUUAGUGGCGCAGCUAACGCGAUAAGUAGACCGCCUGGGGAGUACGGUCGCAAGACUAAAACUCAAAUGAAUUGACGGGGGCCCGCACAAGCGGUGGAGCAUGUGGUUUAAUUCGAUGCAACGCGAAGAACCUUACCUGGUCUUGACAUAGUAAGAACUUUCCAGAGAUGGAUUGGUGCCUUCGGGAACUUACAUACAGGUGCUGCAUGGCUGUCGUCAGCUCGUGUCGUGAGAUGUUGGGUUAAGUCCCGCAACGAGCGCAACCCUUUUCCUUAUUUGCCAGCGGUUCGGCCGGGAACUUUAAGGAUACUGCCAGUGACAAACUGGAGGAAGGCGGGGACGACGUCAAGUCAUCAUGGCCCUUACGACCAGGGCUACACACGUGCUACAAUGGUCGGUACAAAGGGUUGCUACCUCGCGAGAGGAUGCUAAUCUCAAAAAGCCGAUCGUAGUCCGGAUUGGAGUCUGCAACUCGACUCCAUGAAGUCGGAAUCGCUAGUAAUCGCGGAUCAGAAUGCCGCGGUGAAUACGUUCCCGGGCCUUGUACACACCGCCCGUCACACCAUGGGAGUUUGUUGCACCAGAAGUAGGUAGUCUAACCGUAAGGAGGACGCUUACCACGGUGUGGCCGACGACUGGGGUGAAGUCGUAACAAGGUAGCCGUAGGGGAACCUGCGGCUGGAUCACCUCCUU